CGCGGGGUAGAGCAGUUGGCAGCUCGCCAGGCCCAUAACCUGGAGGUCACUGGUUCGAGUCCAGUCCCCGCUACCA
RNAcentral lists this transfer RNA (76 nucleotides) under Candidatus Falkowiibacteriota bacterium. RNAcentral's name for it is "tRNA-Met". It matches the Rfam family "tRNA". Rfam says of the family: Transfer RNA (tRNA) molecules are approximately 80 nucleotides in length. The record is from RNAcentral. Lineage: Bacteria; Candidatus Falkowiibacteriota.